ACGCUGGCGGCGUGCCUAAUACAUGCAAGUCGAGCGAACGGACGAGAAGCUUGCUUCUCUGAUGUUAGCGGCGGACGGGUGAGUAACACGUGGAUAACCUACCUAUAAGACUGGGAUAACUUCGGGAAACCGGAGCUAAUACCGGAUAAUAUUUUGAACCGCAUGGUUCAAAAGUGAAAGACGGUCUUGCUGUCACUUAUAGAUGGAUCCGCGCUGCAUUAGCUAGUUGGUAAGGUAACGGCUUACCAAGGCAACGAUGCAUAGCCGACCUGAGAGGGUGAUCGGCCACACUGGAACUGAGACACGGUCCAGACUCCUACGGGAGGCAGCAGUAGGGAAUCUUCCGCAAUGGGCGAAAGCCUGACGGAGCAACGCCGCGUGAGUGAUGAAGGUCUUCGGAUCGUAAAACUCUGUUAUUAGGGAAGAACAUAUGUGUAAGUAACUGUGCACAUCUUGACGGUACCUAAUCAGAAAGCCACGGCUAACUACGUGCCAGCAGCCGCGGUAAUACGUAGGUGGCAAGCGUUAUCCGGAAUUAUUGGGCGUAAAGCGCGCGUAGGCGGUUUUUUAAGUCUGAUGUGAAAGCCCACGGCUCAACCGUGGAGGGUCAUUGGAAACUGGAAAACUUGAGUGCAGAAGAGGAAAGUGGAAUUCCAUGUGUAGCGGUGAAAUGCGCAGAGAUAUGGAGGAACACCAGUGGCGAAGGCGACUUUCUGGUCUGUAACUGACGCUGAUGUGCGAAAGCGUGGGGAUCAAACAGGAUUAGAUACCCUGGUAGUCCACGCCGUAAACGAUGAGUGCUAAGUGUUAGGGGGUUUCCGCCCCUUAGUGCUGCAGCUAACGCAUUAAGCACUCCGCCUGGGGAGUACGACCGCAAGGUUGAAACUCAAAGGAAUUGACGGGGACCCCCACAAGCGGUGGAGCAUGUGGUUUAAUUCGAAGCAACGCGAAGAACCUUACCAAAUCUUGACAUCCUUUGACAACUCUAGAGAUAGAGCCUUCCCCUUCGGGGGACAAAGUGACAGGUGGUGCAUGGUUGUCGUCAGCUCGUGUCGUGAGAUGUUGGGUUAAGUCCCGCAACGAGCGCAACCCUUAAGCUUAGUUGCCAUCAUUAAGUUGGGCACUCUAAGUUGACUGCCGGUGACAAACCGGAGGAAGGUGGGGAUGACGUCAAAUCAUCAUGCCCCUUAUGAUUUGGGCUACACACGUGCUACAAUGGACAAUACAAAGGGCAGCGAAACCGCGAGGUCAAGCAAAUCCCAUAAAGUUGUUCUCAGUUCGGAUUGUAGUCUGCAACUCGACUACAUGAAGCUGGAAUCGCUAGUAAUCGUAGAUCAGCAUGCUACGGUGAAUACGUUCCCGGGUCU
This 1367-nucleotide ribosomal RNA is filed under the name uncultured bacterium. RNAcentral's name for it is "16S ribosomal RNA". It matches the Rfam family "Bacterial small subunit ribosomal RNA", at positions 33 to 1381 of the family's 1533-position model. The record is from RNAcentral.